UGAUGGACGAAAGCGUGGGGAGCGAACGGGAUUAGAUCCCCCGGUAGUUCCACGCCGUAAACGAUGGAUACCUAGCUGUGGGGACUUCCGGUUCUCCGGUGGGCCAAGCGAAAGUGAUAAGUAUCCCACCUGGGGAGUACGUUCGCAAGAAUGAAACUCAAAGGAAUUGACGGGGGCCCGCACAAGCGGUGGAGCAUGUGGUUUAAUUCGAUUGAUACGCGAGGAACCUUACCAGGGCUUAAAUGCAGGCUGCAUGGGACAGAGACGUCCCUUUCUUCGGACUGCCUGCAAGGUGCUGCAUGGUUGUCGUCAGCUCGUGCCGUGAGGUGUCAGGUUAAGUCCUAUAACGAGCGCAACCCCUGCCGUUAGUUGCCAGCAUGUAAAGAUGGGGACUCUAACGGGACUGCUCGGUGCAAACCGUGAGGAAGGUGGGGACGACGUCAAAUCAUCACGGCCCUUACGUCCUGGGCCACACACGUGCUACGAUGGCCGGUACAGAGGGAAGCCACCCCGCGAGGGGGAGCGGAUCUACAAAGCCGGUCUCAGUUCGGAUCGGGGUCUGCAACUCGACCCCGUGAAGCCUGAAUCGCUAGUAAUCGGAUAUCAGCCAUGAUCCGGUGAAUACGUUCCCGGGCCUUGUACACACCGCCCGUCAAGCCAUGGAAGCUGGGAGUGCCUGAAGUCCGUCACCGUAAG
This 696-nucleotide ribosomal RNA is filed under the name uncultured Bacteroidota bacterium. RNAcentral describes it as "bacterial SSU rRNA". It matches the Rfam family "Bacterial small subunit ribosomal RNA", at positions 747 to 1445 of the family's 1533-position model. The record is from RNAcentral. Lineage: Bacteria; Pseudomonadati; Bacteroidota.